UACAGAGGGUGCAAGCGUUGCUCGGAAUCAUUGGGCGUAAAGGGUAGGUAGGUGGUCUCAUUUGUCUGGGGUGAAAGCCUCGAGCUUAACUCGAGAAGUGCCCCGGAAACGGUGAGACUGGAGUAUUGGAGAGGGUCGUGGAAUUCCCGGUGUAGCGGUGAAAUGCGUAGAGAUCGGGAGGAACACCAGAGGCGAAGGCGGCGACCUGGACAAUUACUGACACUCAACUACGAAAGCGUGGGGAGCAAACAGG
RNAcentral lists this ribosomal RNA (253 nucleotides) under uncultured bacterium. RNAcentral's name for it is "partial 16S ribosomal RNA". It matches the Rfam family "Bacterial small subunit ribosomal RNA", at positions 524 to 776 of the family's 1533-position model. The record is from RNAcentral.